UCUCUGGUGGUCCAGUGGUUAAGACUCCACACUUCCAAUGCAGGGGUCAUGGGUUCAAUUCCUGCUCAGGGAA
RNAcentral lists this transfer RNA (73 nucleotides) under Ovis aries (sheep). It matches the Rfam family "tRNA". From Rfam's summary of the family: Transfer RNA (tRNA) molecules are approximately 80 nucleotides in length. The record is from Rfam by way of RNAcentral. Lineage: Eukaryota; Metazoa; Chordata; Mammalia; Artiodactyla; Bovidae.